ACCAAAUAUAUUACAAACUGUAAGACAUUACUUGAGAAAAAGUAAAAUUCAAUAGUUGCUUAUCUUCUUGAAAAUGUAUAAUAAUGAUUUUUUGUUGAUAAUCAAAAAAUUAGGAGGUUUCAUUUUUUCCUAAUCUAAAAUUAGGAAGUUUCUAGAUAAUAAAUCACUAUCAUAAUCUAAUUUUGAUAAUCAAUUAAUAACUGAAUCUUUCAUAGCCUUCAAAUCCACAAUUUUUCUUCUAAAAUACUUUUUUUUCUUUAGGUUUG
RNAcentral lists this long non-coding RNA (266 nucleotides) under Brassica rapa (field mustard). RNAcentral's name for it is "long non-coding RNA (BRAP_LNC000830)". Lineage: Eukaryota; Viridiplantae; Streptophyta; Magnoliopsida; Brassicales; Brassicaceae. The record is from RNAcentral.